RNAcentral lists this transfer RNA (71 nucleotides) under Nannocystis exedens. It matches the Rfam family "tRNA". Rfam says of the family: Transfer RNA (tRNA) molecules are approximately 80 nucleotides in length. Lineage: Bacteria; Pseudomonadati; Myxococcota; Nannocystales; Nannocystaceae. The record is from Rfam by way of RNAcentral.
GGGAGCGUCGUCUAAUGGCAGGACAGCAGAUUGUUAAUCUGCCUGCGCAAGUUCGAUUCUUGCCGCUUCCG